AGUGAACGCUGGCGGUAGGCCUAACACAUGCAAGUCGAACGGCAGCACAGUAAGAGCUUGCUCUUACGGGUGGCGAGUGGCGGACGGGUGAGGAAUACAUCGGAAUCUACUUUUUCGUGGGGGAUAACGUAGGGAAACUUACGCUAAUACCGCAUACGACCUACGGGUGAAAGUAGGGGAUCUUCGGACCUUGCGCGAUUGGAUGAGCCGAUGUCGGAUUAGCUAGUUGGCGGGGUAAAGGCCCACCAAGGCGACGAUCCGUAGCUGGUCUGAGAGGAUGAUCAGCCACACUGGAACUGAGACACGGUCCAGACUCCUACGGGAGGCAGCAGUGGGGAAUAUUGGACAAUGGGCGCAAGCCUGAUCCAGCCAUACCGCGUGGGUGAAGAAGGCCUUCGGGUUGUAAAGCCCUUUUGUUGGGAAAGAAAAGCAGCAGGUUAAUACCCCGCUGUUCUGACGGUACCCAAAGAAUAAGCACCGGCUAACUUCGUG
Molecule: ribosomal RNA, 492 nt
Filed under: uncultured bacterium
Lineage: Bacteria
Description: partial 16S ribosomal RNA
Rfam family: Bacterial small subunit ribosomal RNA
Source: RNAcentral